GUGUUGAUGACAAUCUCGAGACAGUGGAUUUGAGAGUGUUGAGCCAUCAUCAAAAGCUAGAGUUUUGGAUCAACAUGUUCAAUGCGUGUAUUAUGCAUGGAUAUUUACAACAUGGAGUUCCAAAAACAACUGAGAAAUUACAAUCUCUUGUUUACAAUAAGGCUACAAUAAAUGUUGGAGGCAAAAACAUAAGUGCUAAUACCAUAGAGCAUUGUAUUCUACGGAAGCCUGCAAACUCUACCAUGAGUAAGGAUCGCGAAGAAAUGAUCAUUCGUAAACUAUACGGCAUAGAAACAACGGAUCCUAACAUCAUAUUUGCUCUCUCAUGCGGAACUCGAUCCUCUCCUGCAGUAAGUUAUACUUAAAAAAAAAAGGGUUAUACUCACUUUUGUUAAAGCAAUCUAUUACAAUGAACCUUUUAAUGUCUAUACUUUGAAUUAACUUAUAAGGUUAAUUAGCAUUCUUAGUAUCAUUAGAGCAGUGUUGUAUUUUUUAUGUUCACUAUUUCAAGCACUUGAUAGAUAAAAUAGAGAUCUGUUAUAUAUAUAAAAACUGUACAUUAUCAUUUUAAAAUUAUAGAUUAUCACAAUUAAUGGUUACUUAUUUAAUUUUCUAACAAUAAUAUUGAAGGUUUGACGGGAUGAGUCAGCUCUACUGGUUAGAGCCUUGGGGGCCAAAUGUCAUGCUUCCGGGUUCGACGCCAGCCGGAGGCGAACUGCUCAUCCCUGUUACUAAAGUGGGUACUGGGCCUUCGGGCUCAGGGAAAAACCUCCCGGGUGAAGCUGGCCCGCUGCCUGACCGGGCCCAGGGAAUGACCCGCGAAGCGGGGAACCCUGGAUUA
Brassica napus (rape) is the source of this 841-nucleotide long non-coding RNA. RefSeq lists it as uncharacterized. The transcript has 4 exons. The record is from RefSeq and is a predicted model, not a curated record. NCBI's taxonomy places the organism in Eukaryota, Viridiplantae, Streptophyta, Magnoliopsida, Brassicales, Brassicaceae.